This 685-nucleotide ribosomal RNA is filed under the name uncultured bacterium. Its description in RNAcentral is "bacterial SSU rRNA". It matches the Rfam family "Bacterial small subunit ribosomal RNA", at positions 165 to 852 of the family's 1533-position model. The record is from RNAcentral.
AAUACCCGAUGGCAUAGUUCUUCCGCAUGGUAGAACUAUUAAAGAAUUUCGGUCAUCGAUGGGGAUGCGUUCCAUUAGCUUGUUGGCGGGGUAACGGCCCACCAAGGCAUCGAUGGAUAGGGGUUCUGAGAGGAAGGUCCCCCACAUUGGAACUGAGACACGGUCCAAACUCCUACGGGAGGCAGCAGUGAGGAAUAUUGGUCAAUGGGCGCUAGCCUGAACCAGCCAAGUAGCGUGAAGGAUGACUGCCCUAUGGGUUGUAAACUUCUUUUAUAUGGGAAUAAAGUGCAGUAUGUAUACUGCUUUGCAUGUACCUUAUGAAUGAGGAUCGGCUAACUCCGUGCCAGCAGCCGCGGUAAUACGGAGGAUCCGAGCGUUAUCCGGAUUUAUUGGGUUUAAAGGGAGCGUAGGCGGGUUGUUAAGUCAGUUGUGAAAGUUUGCGGCUCAACCGUAAAAUUGCAGUUGAUACUGGCAUCCUUGAGUACAGUAGAGGUAGGCGGAAUUCGUGGUGUAGCGGUGAAAUGCUUAGAUAUCACGAAGAACUCCGAUUGCGAAGGCAGCCUGCUGGACUGUAACUGACGCUGAUGCUCGAAAGUGUGGGUAUCAAACAGGAUUAGAUACCCUGGUAGUCCACACAGUAAACGAUGAAUACUCGCUGUUUGCGAUAUACAGUAAGCGGCCAAGC